RNAcentral lists this ribosomal RNA (510 nucleotides) under uncultured bacterium. RNAcentral's name for it is "bacterial SSU rRNA". It matches the Rfam family "Bacterial small subunit ribosomal RNA", at positions 791 to 1310 of the family's 1533-position model. The record is from RNAcentral.
UAGUCCAUGCCGUCAACUAUGAGAGCUCAUCUUAGAAAAACUGAGAUUUAGUUAACACGUUAAGCUCUUCGCCAGGGAAGUACGGUCGCAAGACUAAAACUCAAAGGAAUUGACGGGGGCCCGCACAAGCGGUGGAUUAUGUGGUUUAAUUCGAAGCAACGCGCAGAACCUUACCUAGGCUUGAAAUCCCUCGAAUCCCGAGUAAUUUUGGGAGUGCCCGCAAGGGAAUGAGGUGACAGGUGCUGCAUGGCUGUCGUCAGCUCGUGUUGUGAAAUGUUGGGUUAAGUCUCGCAACGAGCGCAACCCCUAUCUUUAGUUGCCAGCAUUAAGUUGGGCACUCUAGAGAGACUGCCCGGGUUAACCGGGAGGAAGGUGGGGAUGACGUCAAGUCCUCAUGGCCCUUAUGCCUAGGGCUACACACGUAAUACAAUGGUGCAUACAGAGGGAAGCGAUCGGGUGACCGUUAGCAAAUCUCAAAAAGUGCAUCUCAGUCCGGAUUGGAGUCUGCAA